This 548-nucleotide ribosomal RNA is filed under the name Arsenophonus symbiont of Pyrrhocoris apterus. RNAcentral's name for it is "bacterial SSU rRNA". It matches the Rfam family "Bacterial small subunit ribosomal RNA", at positions 444 to 984 of the family's 1533-position model. The record is from RNAcentral. Lineage: Bacteria; Pseudomonadati; Pseudomonadota; Gammaproteobacteria; Enterobacterales; Morganellaceae.
GAGGAAGGUGUUAAGGUUAAUAACCUUAGCAAUUGACGUUAGCGACAGAAGAAGCACCGGCUAACUCCGUGCCAGCAGCCGCGGUAAUACGGAGGGUGCGAGCGUUAAUCGGAAUUACUGGGCGUAAAGGGCACGCAGGCGGUUAAUUAAGUUGGAUGUGAAAUCCCCGGGCUUAACCUGGGAAUGGCAUUCAAGACUGGUUAGCUAGAGUCUUGUAGAGGGGGGUAGAAUUCCAUGUGUAGCGGUGAAAUGCGUAGAGAUGUGGAGGAAUACCGGUGGCGAAGGCGGCCCCCUGGACAAAGACUGACGCUCAUGUGCGAAAGCGUGGGGAGCAAACAGGAUUAGAUACCCUGGUAGUCCACGCUGUAAACGAUGUCGAUUUGGAGGUUGUGGUCAAGAACUGUGGCCUCCGGAGCUAACGCGUUAAAUCGACCGCCUGGGGAGUACGGCCGCAAGGUUAAAACUCAAAUGAAUUGACGGGGGCCCGCACAAGCGGUGGAGCAUGUGGUUUAAUUCGAUGCAACGCGAAGAACCUUACCUACUCUUGA